GGAUGCGAGGGUGAUCUGGCUGCGACAUCUGUCACCCCAUUGAUCGCUAGGGUUGAUUCAGCUGAUCUGGCUGGCUAGGCUGGUAUCCCCUUCCUCCCUCGCCGCUCCAUGUGCGUGCCUCCCAAAGCUGCUCACUCUGUCUGUCGAAGAGGAUGACCUUCCCUGCUAGAGGAGGACUGGUCUUUGGUCAAGGGUAUAGGAGUAGCUGUGCUCUCCUGCUAGAACCUCCAAAUAAGCUCUUAAGUACCUGUACUGCACUUGAAUCCAUAGUAUAUUGUUAAUAUCCUAUAUAUUUAUAUAUAUAUAGUAUAUUGUUAAU
Molecule: small nuclear RNA, 319 nt
Filed under: Oryctolagus cuniculus (rabbit)
Lineage: Eukaryota; Metazoa; Chordata; Mammalia; Lagomorpha; Leporidae
Description: 7SK RNA
Rfam family: 7SK RNA
About the family: 7SK was discovered as an abundant small nuclear RNA in the mid-70s but a possible function has only recently been suggested. Two independent studies have found that 7SK RNA binds the CDK9/cyclin T complex (known as elongation factor P-TEFb). P-TEFb activates transcription by phosphorylating the C-terminal domain of RNA polymerase II.
Source: Rfam by way of RNAcentral